Molecule: ribosomal RNA, 503 nt
Filed under: uncultured organism
Description: bacterial SSU rRNA
Rfam family: Bacterial small subunit ribosomal RNA
Source: RNAcentral
AACGAACGCUGGCGGCGUGCCUCAUACAUGCAAGUCGAACGAGAAAGCCCGGCUUCGGUUGGGUUAGUAAAGUGGCGCACGGGUGCGUAACACGUGAGGAACAUGCCCCUAUAUCGGGGAUAAGCCUGCGAAAGCGGGUCUAAUACCGGAUGUUGUCACCGGGUCGCAUGGCCUGGUGAUUAAAGGCGGUUGAGUCUAUGCCGUCGUAUAGGGAUUGUCUCGCGGCCCAUUAGCUAGUUGGCGGUGUAAUGGACCACCAAGGCUCCGAUGGGUAGCCGACCUGAGAGGGUGACCGGCCACACUGGGACUGAGAUACGGCCCAGACUCCUACGGGAGGCAGCAGUAGGGAAUAUUGGACAAUGGGGGAAACCCUGAUCCAGCAACGCCGCGUGGAUGAUGAAGCUUUUUGGAGUGUAAAAUCCUGUCAGUGGGGACGAAACGUCCGGGUAGGAAAUGCCCCGGGCCUGACUGUACCCGCAGAGGAAGUUCCGGCCAACUCCGUG